This 221-nucleotide ribosomal RNA is filed under the name Candidatus Moraniibacteriota bacterium. RNAcentral's name for it is "partial 16S ribosomal RNA". It matches the Rfam family "Bacterial small subunit ribosomal RNA", at positions 1311 to 1533 of the family's 1533-position model. Lineage: Bacteria; Candidatus Moraniibacteriota. The record is from RNAcentral.
CUCGACCUCAUGAAGCCGGAAUCACUAGUAAUCGUGAAUCAGCUAUGUCACGGUGAAUACGUUCUCGGAUCUUGUACUCACCGCCCGUCACACCAAGAGAGUCGGUAAUACCCGAAGGCCCUGUUUUAAAGCAGGGACCACGGUAGGAUCGAUGAUAAGGGUGAAGUCGUAACAAGGCAUCGGUAGCGGAAGCUGUCGAUGGAUCACCUCCUUUCUAGGGA